This 481-nucleotide long non-coding RNA is filed under the name Chinchilla lanigera (long-tailed chinchilla). Its description in RNAcentral is "lncRNA (ENSCLAG00000022491.1)". Lineage: Eukaryota; Metazoa; Chordata; Mammalia; Rodentia; Chinchillidae. The record is from RNAcentral.
ACCCAGGGGUGGCAGUUUGUGGGGACCUUCCUGAGUGGGGGCUGGCGGGCUGUUCCAGGAAAGUGCAGGACAUCGUGAGAGGUCUGCUGCUGGCCUUUGGGGCUUCAAGAACAACGCACUCUUCCUGAACACAGGGCUUUGCUCAGAGGACAAUCCUGCCCCACGCCACAGCCCAGCAUGGGCAAGCUCUCAGCUCCCGCUACAGACACCCCAGCAGACAGAGUCCCGGGGAAUGCUGGACAGCGUUCUGCAGCCUAAAAGGAACCAUCUACUAAGGAGCUAGGGCACUCAGGAGCUCUACAGCCGUGAUCUGACCUACACACAGGCACGUCACUGACAUGCGCGCCACGCCACGCAGCGUUUUGACUCUGUCCUGAGAUGUGAGCUCUCAGCGCCCAGUUCUCUGAGAGAAAGGUGAGUCUCAGGGGACCCAGAGCGCCUGAGAUCCCAGGAUGAGGAAGCGUAGAGCCCAGACCUGACC